UACGGAGGUGGCAAGCGUUGUCCGGAUUUAUUGGGUUUAAAGGGUGCGUAGGCGGCCCUGUAAGUCAGUGGUGAAAUGUUUCAGCUCAACUGGAAUUGUGCCAUUGAUACUGCGGGGCUUGAGUACAGAUGAGGUAGGCGGAAUUGACGGUGUAGCGGUGAAAUGCUUAGAUAUCGUCAAGAACACCUAUAGCGAAGGCAGCUUACUAGGCUGUAACUGACGCUGAGGCACGAAAGUGUGGGGAUCAAACAGG
This 253-nucleotide ribosomal RNA is filed under the name uncultured bacterium. Its description in RNAcentral is "partial 16S ribosomal RNA". It matches the Rfam family "Bacterial small subunit ribosomal RNA", at positions 524 to 776 of the family's 1533-position model. The record is from RNAcentral.